UAUAAAACCACGCGGGACUUCCGCUCGUCCUCUUCCGCCGCUGCAGCUCCAGCUAACACGUCGUUGAGAACUCGAGACCGUGUCUCGUCACACACGCUGUAGCAGGAUGACGUUGGAUGGAGACGCCGACACCUGCGUCGUCCUGGAACCACAGCAGAGAGUCGGAGCUUCUCGGUGUCUUCAUGCUGCAGACUGACACUGGAGCAUGAGGAGCAGCUCGCCUGCAGGGGGCAGCAAACGCCUGUAAAGUGUUCAGUGACCUCACACCAGGCUGCUGGGAAUGAGUGGGUAAGAUCUGCAGUAUAAUCACAACAUUUAAUGAUUGUAUGGAUCAAAUGUAAAGUGUUAUAAAUAAACUUUGUUCUUGCACCACA
Long non-coding RNA from Solea solea (common sole), 374 nucleotides. RefSeq lists it as uncharacterized. The transcript has 5 exons. NCBI's taxonomy places the organism in Eukaryota, Metazoa, Chordata, Actinopteri, Pleuronectiformes, Soleidae. The record is from RefSeq and is a predicted model, not a curated record.